Molecule: transfer RNA, 82 nt
Filed under: Chelatococcus asaccharovorans
Lineage: Bacteria; Pseudomonadati; Pseudomonadota; Alphaproteobacteria; Hyphomicrobiales; Chelatococcaceae
Rfam family: tRNA
About the family: Transfer RNA (tRNA) molecules are approximately 80 nucleotides in length. Their secondary structure includes four short double-helical elements and three loops (D, anti-codon, and T loops).
Source: Rfam by way of RNAcentral
GCCCAGGUGGUGGAAUUGGUAGACACGCAGGUUUCAGGUACCUGUGCCGCAAGGCGUGAAGGUUCGAGUCCUUUCCUGGGCA